UAAUUUGUACUUUUCAUCAUUAAUCUCACCAUCAUUUCUAACACCUACAUUGGAAGUCCCCGAAAGGCACAGCUCAGCAUCAAAUGAGUCAAAUACCGGAAAAAGAUAAAGAAGCUGCUCCUGUUCCUCAUUUUCAUCAUAUGAAUUCUCAUCCGGACCCAGAUCCGGUACCAAAUGAUGGACCAGGUUUCUUUGCGUCUCAUUGGAUUUGGAUUUGGCGGCUCGAGGACCUGUUCCUCAUUUUCAUCAUAUGAAGCUGCUCCUGUUCCUCAUUUUCUUUGAAGUUGAUAGGAAUGAAA
This 299-nucleotide long non-coding RNA is filed under the name Panax ginseng (ginseng). RNAcentral describes it as "long non-coding RNA (PGIN_LNC005915)". The record is from RNAcentral. Lineage: Eukaryota; Viridiplantae; Streptophyta; Magnoliopsida; Apiales; Araliaceae.